Molecule: ribosomal RNA, 1302 nt
Filed under: Triticum aestivum (bread wheat)
Lineage: Eukaryota; Viridiplantae; Streptophyta; Magnoliopsida; Poales; Poaceae
Description: partial small subunit ribosomal RNA
Source: RNAcentral
AUGAGCACGGCGCUACUUCGGCUGAUAGCUCUGCUGUUCCUCCUCCCGCCUCCCCUCCGCCACUACCUCUCGCCAGCAAGCGGCGGCAGGGCCAGCCAGCUCAACGUCAAACACCCCAUCAUCCUGCUCCCCGGCUUCAGCUGCUCCAACCUCGAGGCGCGGCUGACGGACGAGUACGCGCCGUCGCAGCCCCGCUGCGGCGCCCUCAAGGGCCAGGGGUGGUUCCCGCUGUGGAACGACACCUGGGCCAUCGUCAACCACGACUACCUGCCCUGCUUCGAGGAGCAGAUGAGCCUCGUCUUCGACCCCAUCCUUGAUGACUACCGCAACAUCCCCGGCGUGGAGACCCGCGUGCCGGACUUCGGCUCCACCCACGGCAUCACCUCCAAGAACGACGCGGGUCGCAACGAAUUCUGCCUGAUAAAGCUCCGCGACGAGCUGGAGGCGCUGGGUUACCGCGACAGGGACACCCUCUUCGGGGCUCCCUACGACCUGCGGCACGCCCCACCGCCGCCCGGCCAGCCAUCCCGGGUCUACUCCGACUACUUCGCCCGCCUCGUGGAGCUGGUGGAGCACGCGAGCGACAAGAACGGGGGCAAGCCGGCCAUCCUCCUCGGGCACAGCUUCGGCGGCAGGGUCCUCCUGGACUUCGUCACCUCCACGCCCCUGCCGUGGAGGCAGAGGUUCAUCAAGCACCUGUUCCUCGUCUCGCCCACGACCCCCACGGGCUUCAUGCUCGCGCUCACCAACCUAGCCUCCGGGUCGUCAGUCGUCCAGCUCCCCACCGUCUCAUCGCUCGCACUGAGGUCCAUGUGGAGGACCUUCGCCAGCUCCCUCCUGUCCAUGCCGGCCCCUAGGGUUUUCGGCCGCAGGCCGCUCGUCAUCACCAAGGAGAGGAACUACUCCGCCUACGACUACCCAGAUUUCCUCGCGGCGCUCGGUUUCAGCGCCAACGGGAUCGUGCCCUUCGUGAAACGGGUGCUCCCCACGAUGGUGCGCAUCGACGCGCCGAUGGUGCCGACCACGUACAUCAACGGCGUCGGUGUCCAGACGGCGGAGCAGGUAAUGUACCUGGAUGGUAACUUCGACGUCGCCACCGAGACCGUAUACGGCGACGGAGACGGUACCAUCAACGCGGCUAGCAUUUUGGCGUUUGCCAAGGAGGUGGGCACGCAACAUCGCCGGAAUAAUGACAUACCCUUCAAGUUCGUUAAGAUUCCUAAUGCUACGCACGCCGGUAUUGUCAUCGAGAAACAUCCGCUCGCUAGAGUCAUGGCUGAGCUUCUGGAAGCUAAUUCUUGA